AUUCAUUGCAACUUGCACACAAAUGUAUACUUAAUUCCUUCUAUGGAUAUGUCAUGCGCAAGGGUGCAAGAUGGUACUCAAUGGAAAUGGCUGGGGUAGUUACUUAUACAGGAGCAAAAAUAAUCCAGAAUGCUCGCUUGCUUGUUGAAAAAAUUGGAAAACCACUUGAAUUGGACACGGAUGGUAUAUGGUGUGUGCUCCCUGGAUCUUUUCCAGAGAACUUUACCUUUAAAACAAAGGACAUAAAGAAAAAAUUAACAAUCUCAUAUCCCUGUGUUAUGCUUAAUGUUGAUGUUGCAAGAAACAAUACAAAUGAGCAAUACCAGACGCUUGUUGAUCCUGUAAAUAAAACAUAUGCAACUCAUAGUGAAUGCUCAAUUGAAUUUGAAGUUGAUGGCCCAUACAAGGCAAUGAUUCUUCCAGCUUCUAAAGAGGAAGGAAUUUUAAUUAAGAAGCGAUAUGCUGUCUUCAAUGAUGAUGGAACAUUGGCUGAGCUUAAAGGUUUUGAAAUCAAGCGUAGAGGUGAGCUGAAGCUGAUCAAAGUUUUCCAGGCUGAGCUUUUUGACAAGUUCCUGCAUGGAUCAACCUUAGAGGAAUGCUAUUCAGCUGUAGCUGCUGUAGCCAACCACUGGCUUGAUCUUCUUGAUAAUCAAGGAAAGGAUAUUGCUGACAGUGAGUUGCUUGAUUAUA
This 690-nucleotide unclassified non-coding RNA is filed under the name Hevea brasiliensis (rubber tree). Lineage: Eukaryota; Viridiplantae; Streptophyta; Magnoliopsida; Malpighiales; Euphorbiaceae. The record is from RNAcentral.